CCUACGGGGGGCAGCAGUGAGGAAUAUUGGUCAAUGGGCGCGAGCCUGAACCAGCCAAGUAGCGUGAAGGAUGACUGCCCUACGGGUUGUAAACUUCUUUUAUAAAGGAAUAAAGUGAGGCACGUGUGCCUUUUUGUAUGUACUUUAUGAAUAAGGAUCGGCUAACUCCGUGCCAGCAGCCGCGGUAAUACGGAGGAUCCGAGCGUUAUCCGGAUUUAUUGGGUUUAAAGGGUGCGUAGAUGGGUUGUUAAGUCAGUUGUGAAAGUUUGCGGCUCAACCGUAAAAUUGCAAUUGAUACUGGGAGGCUGGAGUACGGUUGAGGUAGGCGGAAUGCGUGGUGUAGCGGUGAAAUGCUUAGAUAUCACGAAGAACUCCGAUUGCGAAGGCAGCUUACUAAGCUGUGACUGACAUUGAUGCUCGAAAGUGUGGGGAUCAAACAGGAUUAGAUACCCCGGUAGUC
RNAcentral lists this ribosomal RNA (460 nucleotides) under uncultured bacterium. RNAcentral describes it as "partial 16S ribosomal RNA". It matches the Rfam family "Bacterial small subunit ribosomal RNA", at positions 338 to 795 of the family's 1533-position model. The record is from RNAcentral.